UGAAAUCUCGACUCUCCCCUUCGAAACUGCGUCUGAAACUGCUAGUCUAGAGUGUCGGAGGGGGAAGGGGAAUUUCACGUGUAGGGGUAAAAUCCGUAGAGAUGUGAAGGAACACCGGGGGCGAAGGCGCCUUCCUGGACGACUACUGACGCUGAGGCGCGAAAGCGUGGGGAGCAAACAGGAUUAGAUACCCUGGUAGUCCACGCCGUAAACGAUGAACACUAGUUAUUGGGGGUAUUGACUCCCUCAGUGACGCAGCUAACGCAUUAAG
RNAcentral lists this ribosomal RNA (271 nucleotides) under uncultured Peredibacter sp. RNAcentral's name for it is "partial 16S ribosomal RNA". It matches the Rfam family "Bacterial small subunit ribosomal RNA", at positions 595 to 864 of the family's 1533-position model. The record is from RNAcentral. Lineage: Bacteria; Pseudomonadati; Bdellovibrionota; Bacteriovoracia; Bacteriovoracales; Bacteriovoracaceae.